Non-coding RNA from Phyllosticta citriasiana, 88 nucleotides. NCBI's taxonomy places the organism in Eukaryota, Fungi, Ascomycota, Dothideomycetes, Botryosphaeriales, Phyllostictaceae. The record is from the annotation of a GenBank genome assembly.
UCUUCAAUGGUCUAGUGGUGAUGAUUUCCGCUUGUCAAUAUUCGUAUUACAAGCGCGGGAGACCAGGGUUCGAUUCCCUGUUGGAGAG